UACGAAGGGGGCUAGCGUUGCUCGGAAUCACUGGGCGUAAAGGGUGCGUAGGCGGGUUUUUAAGUCAGAGGUGAAAUCCUGGAGCUCAACUCCAGAACUGCCUUUGAUACUGAGAAUCUUGAGCAUGGGAGAGGUGAGUGGAACUGCGAGUGUAGAGGUGAAAUUCGUAGAUAUUCGCAAGAACACCAGUGGCGAAGGCGGCUCACUGGCCCAUAACUGACGCUGAGGCACGAAAGCGUGGGGAGCAAACAGG
RNAcentral lists this ribosomal RNA (253 nucleotides) under uncultured bacterium. RNAcentral describes it as "partial 16S ribosomal RNA". It matches the Rfam family "Bacterial small subunit ribosomal RNA", at positions 524 to 776 of the family's 1533-position model. The record is from RNAcentral.